This 22-nucleotide transfer RNA is filed under the name Eurema mandarina. Its description in RNAcentral is "partial tRNA-Gly". Lineage: Eukaryota; Metazoa; Arthropoda; Insecta; Lepidoptera; Pieridae. The record is from RNAcentral.
AUUUAUAUAAUAUAUGUAGUAU